CCAGACUCCUACGGGAGGCAGCAGUGGGGGAUAUUGCACAAUGGGGGGAACCCUGAUGCAGCAACGCCGCGUGAGUGAAGAAGUCAUUCGUGAUGUAAAGCUCUAUCAGCAGGGAAGAAAAUGACGGUACCUGAGUAAGAAGCCCCGGCUAACUACGUGCCAGCAGCCGCGGUAAUACGUAGGGGGCGAGCGUUAUCCGGAUUCACUGGGUGUAAAGGGAGCGUAGACGGCCAAGCAAGCCAGGGGUGAAAGCCCGGGGCCCAACCCCGGGACUGCCCUUGGAACUGCAUGGCUGGAGUGCGGGAGGGGCAGGCGGAAUUCCUGGUGUAGCGGUGAAAUGCGUAGAUAUCAGGAGGAACACCGGCGGCGAAGGCGGCCUGCUGGACCGCGACUGACGUUGAGGCUCGAAAGCGUGGGGAGCGAACAGGAUUAGAUACCCCCGUAGU
RNAcentral lists this ribosomal RNA (446 nucleotides) under uncultured bacterium. RNAcentral's name for it is "bacterial SSU rRNA". It matches the Rfam family "Bacterial small subunit ribosomal RNA", at positions 331 to 794 of the family's 1533-position model. The record is from RNAcentral.